UACGGAGGGUGCAAGCGUUGUCCGGAUUUAUUGGGUUUAAAGGGUGCGUAGGCGGCCUUUUAAGUCUGGGGUGAAAGCCCGCUGCUCAACAGCGGAACUGCCCUGGAUACUGGAUGGCUUGAGUACAGACGAGGUUGGCGGAAUGGACUGAGUAGCGGUGAAAUGCAUAGAUACAGUCCAGAACCCCGAUUGCGAAGGCAGCUGACUAGGCUGUUACUGACGCUGAGGCACGAAAGCGUGGGGAGCGAACAGG
Molecule: ribosomal RNA, 253 nt
Filed under: uncultured bacterium
Lineage: Bacteria
Description: partial 16S ribosomal RNA
Rfam family: Bacterial small subunit ribosomal RNA
Source: RNAcentral